Molecule: ribosomal RNA, 465 nt
Filed under: uncultured bacterium
Lineage: Bacteria
Description: partial 16S ribosomal RNA
Rfam family: Bacterial small subunit ribosomal RNA
Source: RNAcentral
CCUACGGGGGGCAGCAGUGGGGAAUUUUGGACAAUGGGCGCAAGCCUGAUCCAGCUAUUCCGCGUGUGGGAAGACGGCCUUCGGGUUGUAAACCACUUUUGUAGAGAACGAAAAGUCUGUUGAUAAUACCGAUAGAUGAUGACGGUACUCUAAGAAUAAGCACCGGCUAACUACGUGCCAGCAGCCGCGGUAAUACGUAGGGUGCGAGCGUUAAUCGGAAUUACUGGGCGUAAAGGGUGUGCAGGCGGUUUUGCAAGAUGGAUGUGAAAGACCCGGGCUUAACCUGGGAAAGCCAUACAUGACUGCAAGACUAGAGUGCGUCAGAGGGGGGUGGAAUUCCAAGUGUAGCAGUGAAAUGCGUAGAUAUUUGGAAGAACACCGAUGGCGAAGGCAGCCCCCUGGGACGCAACUGACGCUCAUACACGAAAGCGUGGGGAGCAAACAGGAUUAGAUACCCCUGUAGUC